This 566-nucleotide ribosomal RNA is filed under the name uncultured archaeon. RNAcentral's name for it is "bacterial SSU rRNA". It matches the Rfam family "Archaeal small subunit ribosomal RNA", at positions 312 to 879 of the family's 1478-position model. The record is from RNAcentral.
CGCGAUUCGCCCUUCGGGGUGCGCAGGCGCGAAAACUUUACAAUGCGGGAAACCGUGAUAAGGGGACACCGAGUGCCAGCAUCAUAUGCUGGCUGUCCAGGUGUGUAAAAUACACCUGUUAGCAAGGGCCGGGCAAGACCGGUGCCAGCCGCCGCGGUAACACCGGCGGCCCGAGUGGUGAUCGUGAUUAUUGGGUCUAAAGGGUCCGUAGCCGGUUUGGUCAGUCCUCCGGGAAAUCUGAUAGCUUAACUAUUAGGCUUUCGGAGGAUACUGCCAGACUUGGAACCGGGAGAGGUAAGAGGUACUACAGGGGUAGGAGUGAAAUCUUGUAAUCCCUGUGGGACCACCUGUGGCGAAGGCGUCUUACCAGAACGGGUUCGACGGUGAGGGACGAAAGCUGGGGGCACGAACCGGAUUAGAUACCCGGGUAGUCCCAGCCGUAAACGAUGCUCGCUAGGUGUCAGGCAUGGCGCGACCGUGUCUGGUGCCGCAGGGAAGCCGUGAAGCGAGCCACCUGGGAAGUACGGCCGCAAGGCUGAAACUUAAAGGAAUUGGCGGGGGAGCAC